Molecule: ribosomal RNA, 468 nt
Filed under: uncultured bacterium
Lineage: Bacteria
Description: partial 16S ribosomal RNA
Rfam family: Bacterial small subunit ribosomal RNA
Source: RNAcentral
GACGAACGCUGGCGGCGUGCUUAACACAUGCAAGUCGAACGGAAAGGCCCUGCUUUUGUGGGGUGCUCGAGUGGCGAACGGGUGAGUAACACGUGAGUAACCUGCCCUUGACUUUGGGAUAACUUCAGGAAACUGGGGCUAAUACCGGAUAGGAGCUCCUGCUGCAUGGUGGGGGUUGGAAAGUUUCGGCGGUUGGGGAUGGACUCGCGGCUUAUCAGCUUGUUGGUGGGGUAGUGGCUUACCAAGGCUUUGACGGGUAGCCGGCCUGAGAGGGUGACCGGCCACACUGGGACUUGGAUACGGCCCAGACUCCUACGGGAGGCAGCAGUGGGGAAUAUUGCACAGUGGGCGGAAGCCUGAUGCAGCAACGCCGCGUGCGGGAUGACGGCCUUCGGGUUGUAAACCGCUUUCGCCUGUGACGAAGCGUGAGUGACGGUAAUGGGUAAAGAAGCACCGGCUAACUACGUG